GUGCCAGCCGCCGCGGUAAUACGUAGGGGGCGAGCGUUGUCCGGAAUUAUUGGGCGUAAAGCGCGCGCAGGCGGUCGCGAGAGCCCGGCGUGAAAGCCCCCAGCUCAACUGGGGGAGGCCGUUGGGGACCUUGGGACUAGAGGCCGGUAGGGGCGAGCGGAAUUCCCGGUGUAGUGGUGGAAUGCGUAGAGAUCGGGAGGAACACCGGUGGCGAAGGCGGCUCGCUGGGCCGGACCUGACGCUCAGGCGCGAAAGCGUGGGGAGCGAUCCGGAUUAGAAACCCUCGUAGUCC
RNAcentral lists this ribosomal RNA (292 nucleotides) under uncultured bacterium. RNAcentral's name for it is "partial 16S ribosomal RNA". It matches the Rfam family "Bacterial small subunit ribosomal RNA", at positions 505 to 796 of the family's 1533-position model. The record is from RNAcentral.